AAGUCGUAAUAAGGUCUCAAUGUAUUUAUAAAAGAAAAGAUUUGGGUCAAAUUAAUUUGAUCCGCGCAUUUGCUUUUAUAUUUCUUAUAUCAACACUCUUUUUAUUACUUUGAAACCUGUUUGUCUGAAAUAAAAUAUUAUUCUUUGAAUAGCUUUCAACAACGGAUUUCUUGGUUCCC
This 179-nucleotide unclassified non-coding RNA is filed under the name fungal sp. RNAcentral's name for it is "partial internal transcribed spacer region". The record is from RNAcentral. Lineage: Eukaryota; Fungi.